AGAGUUUGAUCCUGGCUCAGAUUGAACGCUGGCGGCAUGCUUUACACAUGCAAGUCGAACGGUAACGCGGGGGCAACCCUGGCGACGAGUGGCGAACGGGUGAGUAAUACAUCGGAACAUGUCCUGGAGUGGGGGAUAGCUCGGCGAAAGCCGGAUUAAUACCGCAUACGCUCUGAGGAGGAAAGCGGGGGACUCGCAAGGGCCUCGCGCUGCAGGAGUGGCCGAUGUCGGAUUAGCUAGUUGGUGAGGUAAAGGCUCACCAAGGCGACGAUCCGUAGCUGGUCUGAGAGGAUGAUCAGCCACACUGGGACUGAGACACGGCCCAGNACUCCUACGGGAGGCAGCAGUGGGGAAUUUUGGACAAUGGGGGCAACCCUGAUCCAGCCAUGCCGCGUGAGUGAAGAAGGCCUUCGGGUUGUAAAGCUCUUUCGGACGGAACGAAAUGGUUACAGUGAAUAACUGUGAUUGAUGACGGUACCGUAAGAAGAAGCACCGGCUAACUACGUGCCAGCAGCCGCGGUAAUACGUAGGGUGCGAGCGUUAAUCGGAAUUACUGGGCGUAAAGCGUGCGCAGGCGGUUCGCCNAGUCAGGUGUGAAAUCCCCGGGCUUAACCUGGGAAUUGCGCUUGAAACUAGCGGGCUUNANUGUGGCAGAGGGGGGUGGNAUUCCACGUGUAG
RNAcentral lists this ribosomal RNA (678 nucleotides) under uncultured bacterium. RNAcentral describes it as "bacterial SSU rRNA". It matches the Rfam family "Bacterial small subunit ribosomal RNA", at positions 8 to 678 of the family's 1533-position model. The record is from RNAcentral.